UAUUGGUCAAUGGUCGGGAGACUGAACCAGCCAAGCCGCGUGAGGGAGGAAGGUACAGAGUAUCGUAAACCUCUUUUGUCAGGGAACAANGGCGGGGACGUGUCCCCGGAUGCGUGUACCUGAACAAAAAGCAUCGGCCAACUCCGUGCCAGCAGCCGCGGUAAUACGAAGGAUGCGAGCGUUAUCCGGAUUAAUUGGGUUUAAAGGGUGCGCAGGCGGACUGUUAAGUCAGCGGUCAAAGCCCGGGGCUCAACCCCGGCCCGCCGUUGAAACUGGCAGUCUCGAGUUGGAGAGAAGUAUGCGGAAUGCGCGGUGUAGCGGUGAAAUGCAUAGAUAUCGCGCAGAACUCCGAUUGCGAAGGCAGCAUGCCGGCUCCACACUGACGCUGAGGCACGAAAGCGUGGGUAUCG
RNAcentral lists this ribosomal RNA (410 nucleotides) under uncultured bacterium. RNAcentral's name for it is "bacterial SSU rRNA". It matches the Rfam family "Bacterial small subunit ribosomal RNA", at positions 362 to 770 of the family's 1533-position model. The record is from RNAcentral.